UCAGGAUGAACGCCAGCGGGAGGCUUAACACAUGCAAGUCGAGGGGCAUCACGAGGUAGCAAUACUUUGGUGGCGACCGGCGCACGGGUGAGUAACGCGUAUGCAACCUACCCUGUACAGGGGGAUAGCCCGGAGAAAUUCGGAUUAAUACCCCAUAAAGAUAUGAGAAGGCAUCUUUUUAUAUUUAAAGUUUCGACGGUACGGGAUGGGCAUGCGUGACAUUAGCUAGUUGGUAAGGUAACGGCUUACCAAGGCUACGAUGUCUAGGGGUCCUGAGAGGGUGAUCCCCCACACUGGUACUGAGACACGGACCAGACUCUACGGGAGGCAGCAGUGAGGAAUAUUGGUCAAUGGGCGUAAGCCUGAACCAGCCAUCCCGCGUGCAGGAAGACGGCGCUAUGCGUUGUAAACUGCUUUUCCAGGGAAAGAAAAUUCUGUACGUGUACGGAACUGACGGUACCCUGGGAAUAAGCAUCGGCUAACUCCGUGCCAGCAGCCGCGGUAAUACGGAGGAUGCGAGCGUCAUCCGGAUUUAUUGGGUUUAAAGGGUGCGUAGGCGGAUUGAUAAGUCAGUGGUGAAAACCUUCAGCUUAACUGGAGACUUGCCAUUGAUACUGUUAGUCUUGAGUACGGUCAAGGUAGGCGGAAUGUGUAAUGUAGCGGUGAAAUGCUUAGAUAUUACACAGAACACCGAUUGCGAAGGCMGCUUACUGGCCA
Molecule: ribosomal RNA, 717 nt
Filed under: uncultured Bacteroidota bacterium
Lineage: Bacteria; Pseudomonadati; Bacteroidota
Description: bacterial SSU rRNA
Rfam family: Bacterial small subunit ribosomal RNA
Source: RNAcentral